CAGCAGCCGCCGCGGUAAUACGAAGGGUGCAAGCGUUAAUCGGAAUUACUGGGCGUAAAGCGUGCGUAGGCGGUUUGUUAAGUCUGUUGUGAAAUCCCCGGGCUCAACCUGGGAAUGGCAAUGGAUACUGGCAAGCUAGAGUGUGUCAGAGGAUGGUGGAAUUCCCGGUGUAGCGGUGAAAUGCGUAGAGAUCGGGAGGAACAUCAGUGGCGAAGGCGGCCAUCUGGGACAACACUGACGCUGAGGCACGAAAGCGUGGGGAGCAAACAGGAUUAGAUACCCCCGUAGUCCCUGUCUCUUAUAC
RNAcentral lists this ribosomal RNA (304 nucleotides) under uncultured bacterium. RNAcentral's name for it is "partial 16S ribosomal RNA". It matches the Rfam family "Bacterial small subunit ribosomal RNA", at positions 506 to 807 of the family's 1533-position model. The record is from RNAcentral.